RNAcentral lists this ribosomal RNA (297 nucleotides) under Dictyochloropsis sp. LMCC-AM02. RNAcentral describes it as "partial 26S ribosomal RNA". It matches the Rfam family "Eukaryotic large subunit ribosomal RNA", at positions 1 to 295 of the family's 3401-position model. The record is from RNAcentral. Lineage: Eukaryota; Viridiplantae; Chlorophyta; Trebouxiophyceae; Trebouxiales; Trebouxiaceae.
UGACCUGAGUUCAGGCAAGAUCACCCGCUGAACUUAAGCAUAUCAAUAAGCGGAGGAAAAGAAACUAACCAGGAUUCCCCUAGUAACGGCGAGCGAACCGGGAACAGCCCAAGCCGAGAAUCUUUGGCGAUCGCGCCAGAGAAUUGUGGUCUAUCGAGGCGGCUUCUGCGGGAGUCGGCGCCCAAGUCUCCUGGAAGGGAGGGUCCGAGAGGGUGAGAACCCCGUCGGCGCCGAACCACCCCGCUCCACGAACCGCCUUCGGAGAGUCUUGUUGUUUGGGAAUGCAGCAAAAAGAGG